ACUUGAUAAAAGAAUUUUAGUUCUACCUAAAGCCCGAAUAAGUUUUAUAAACUAACACUUUUGCUUUAGAGUUAUUCAAAUAAGGUACAGCCUAUUUGAAUAAGGAAACAACCUAAACUAAUGGGUAAAUAUUUACAGUGUACCAAAGUGGGCCUAAAAGCAGCCACCUUUAACAAUAGCGUCAAAGCUUCUCUACACAAGUACAUUCAAUUCCACACCCCAACCAAAACCCUUUAUUGUCAUCAAGUAAUUCUAUAUACCUAUAGAACAUAAAAUGUUAAAACUAGUAACAAGAAGCAAACCCUUCUCUUAAAUGUAAGUGUAAGCCAGAAAGGAUAAACCACUGUCAAUUAACACCAAUGAUUUUUAAUUAGUAACAUCACAAGAAAACCCUAAUAAAACAAAUGUUAAACUAACACAAGAGCAUUUCAAGAAAGAUUAAAAGAAAAAGAAGGAACUCGGCAAACACUAACCCCGCCUGUUUACCAAAAACAUCGCCUCUUGACAAAUAUAAGAGGUCCAGCCUGCCCAGUGACCUAGUUCAACGGCCGCGGUAUCCUAACCGUGCGAAGGUAGCGUAAUCACUUGUUCUUUAAAUGAGGACUAGUAUGAAUGGCACCACGAGGGUUACACUGUCUCCUUUUUUUAAUCAGUGAAACUAAUUUCCCCGUGAAGAAGCGGGGAUUUUUCUAUAAGACGAGAAGACCCUAUGGAGCUUUAAACAAACUAACACUUGCUGCCCAAAAUAGUUUUCUCAGGAAACAUGACAUACAGCUUAGCAAGAUGAUUAAUAGUUUUCGAUUGGGGUGAUCACGGAGUAAAAAAUAACCUCCAUGCCGAAAGGACCCUUCCCUGAGCAAAAAGCCACAACUUUAAGCACUAAAAAAAUUAACGUUUAUUGACCCAAUAUUUUGAUCAACGAACCAAGUUACCCUAGGGAUAACAGCGCAAUCCACUUCAAGAGCUCCUAUCGACAAGUGGGUUUACGACCUCGAUGUUGGAUCAGGGUAUCCCAGUGGUGCAGCCGCUACUAACGGUUCGUUUGUUCAACGAUUAAAACCCU
RNAcentral lists this ribosomal RNA (1063 nucleotides) under Boana bischoffi (Bischoff's treefrog). RNAcentral describes it as "partial 16S ribosomal RNA". It matches the Rfam family "Bacterial large subunit ribosomal RNA", at positions 914 to 2597 of the family's 2925-position model. Lineage: Eukaryota; Metazoa; Chordata; Amphibia; Anura; Hylidae. The record is from RNAcentral.